GGGCGAUUAGCUCAGUUGGUAGAGCACCUCCCUUACAAGGAGGGGGUCAUCAGUUCGAGUCUGAUAUUGCCCA
This 73-nucleotide transfer RNA is filed under the name Candidatus Riesia pediculicola. RNAcentral describes it as "tRNA-Val". It matches the Rfam family "tRNA". From Rfam's summary of the family: Transfer RNA (tRNA) molecules are approximately 80 nucleotides in length. Their secondary structure includes four short double-helical elements and three loops (D, anti-codon, and T loops). RNAcentral also lists the same sequence under 1 other name. Lineage: Bacteria; Pseudomonadati; Pseudomonadota; Gammaproteobacteria; Enterobacterales; Enterobacteriaceae. The record is from RNAcentral.